GGAGAGGUGGCAGAGUGGUCGAAUGCGGCGGUCUUGAAAACCGUUGAGGCUUCUGGUCUCCGGGGGUUCGAAUCCCUCCCUCUCCG
This 86-nucleotide transfer RNA is filed under the name Halalkalibaculum roseum. It matches the Rfam family "tRNA". Rfam says of the family: Transfer RNA (tRNA) molecules are approximately 80 nucleotides in length. Lineage: Bacteria; Pseudomonadati; Balneolota; Balneolia; Balneolales; Balneolaceae. RNAcentral also lists the same sequence under 1 other name. The record is from Rfam by way of RNAcentral.